AGCAGCCGCGGUAAUUCCAGCUCCAAUAGCGUAUAUUAAAGUUGUUGCAGUUAAAAGCUCGUAGUUGAAUUUCGGGAUCAGUACGCUGGUCGUGCCUCUGGUAUGUACUGGUGUCACUGGUUCCUCCCUUCUGAAGAACCAUUAUGCCAUUCAUUUGGUGUGGUGGGAAAUCAGGACUGUUACUUUGAAAAAUUAGAGUGUUUAAAGCAGGCUCGCGCUUGAAUACAUUAGCAUGGAAUAAUGAAAUAGGACGUUGAUCCUAUUUUGUUGGUUUCUAGGAUUGACGUAAUGAUUAAUAGGGAUAGUUGGGGGCAUUGGUAUUCAAUUGUCAGAGGUGAAAUUCUUGGAUUUAUUGAAGACUAACUACUGCGAAAGCAUUUGCCAAGGAUGUUUUCAUUAAUCAAGAACGAAAGUUAGGGGAUCGAAGACGAUCAGAUACCGUCGUAGUCU
RNAcentral lists this ribosomal RNA (450 nucleotides) under uncultured Glomeromycotina. RNAcentral's name for it is "SSU rRNA". It matches the Rfam family "Eukaryotic small subunit ribosomal RNA", at positions 569 to 1026 of the family's 1831-position model. The record is from RNAcentral. Lineage: Eukaryota; Fungi; Glomeromycota.